GACGAACGCUGGCGGCGUGCCUAAUACAUGCAAGUCGAACGCAUUUUCUUUCACCGUAGCUUGCUACACCGACAGAAAAUGAGUGGCGAACGGGUGAGUAACACGUUGGUAACCUGCCCAUCAGCGGGGGAUAACACUUGGAAACAGGUGCUAAUACCGCAUAAUUCCAUUUACCGCAUGGUAGAUGGAUGAAAGGCGCUUUUGCGUCACUGAUGGAUGGACCCGCGGUGCAUUAGCUAGUUGGUGGGGUAACGGCCUACCAAGGCUGCGAUGCAUAGCCGACCUGAGAGGGUGAUCGGCCACACUGGGACUGAGACACGGCCCAGACUCCUACGGGAGGCAGCAGUAGGGAAUCUUCGGCAAUGGACGCAAGUCUGACCGAGCAACGCCGCGUGAGUGAAGAAGGGUUUCGGAUCGUAAAACUCUGUUGUUAGAGAAGAACAAGGAUGAGAGUGGAAAGUUCAUCCCUUGACGGUAGCUAACCAGAAAGCCACGGCUAACUACGUG
RNAcentral lists this ribosomal RNA (507 nucleotides) under uncultured bacterium. Its description in RNAcentral is "partial 16S ribosomal RNA". It matches the Rfam family "Bacterial small subunit ribosomal RNA", at positions 28 to 507 of the family's 1533-position model. The record is from RNAcentral.